ACGAAGGGACCUAGCGUAGUUCGGAAUUACUGGGCUUAAAGAGUUCGUAGGUGGUUGAAAAAGUUGGUGGUGAAAUCCCAGAGCUUAACUCUGGAACUGCCAUCAAAACUUUUCAGCUAGAGUAUGAUAGAGGAAAGCAGAAUUUCUAGUGUAGAGGUGAAAUUCGUAGAUAUUAGAAAGAAUACCAAUUGCGAAGGCAGCUUUCUGGAUCAUUACUGACACUGAGGAACGAAAGCAUGGGUAGCGAAGAGG
Molecule: ribosomal RNA, 252 nt
Filed under: uncultured bacterium
Lineage: Bacteria
Description: partial 16S ribosomal RNA
Rfam family: Bacterial small subunit ribosomal RNA
Source: RNAcentral